This is a long non-coding RNA of Felis catus (domestic cat), 786 nucleotides long. RefSeq lists it as uncharacterized. NCBI's taxonomy places the organism in Eukaryota, Metazoa, Chordata, Mammalia, Carnivora, Felidae. The record is from RefSeq and is a predicted model, not a curated record. The transcript is spliced from 3 exons.
GUAGGGAGAACCUCCUGGGGACACAAGGAAAGCUCCGUGGAGGAAGUCACACUUCAGCAUGGUCUUAAGGAGGCACAGAGAGAUUUCUGUGUCAUCACCGGAGUCUGCGACAGGAUCUGGCAUGGAACAGACCCGGACUCUCCUCAAAAGAUGACAACUCUCAAGGGGACAGAGCAGCCACAGACUGGGAGGAAGCGUCUGCAAAAGACACAUCUGCCGAAAGACCAUGAUCCAAAUUACACAAACAACUCUUAAAACUCAACCGCAGGAAAACUAACAACCCAAUUAAAAAACGGGCCAAAGACCUCAACAGACACCUCACCGAAGAAGACAGACGGAGGGCAGACGAGCACACGAAAAGAUGCUCCACGUCCUACGUCUUCAGAGAACCGCGAAUGCAAGCAACAGGGAGGUACUGGUACACGCCCAUGAGAAUGCCCAAGACUCGAAACCGGGGCAGCACCAAAUGCCGGUGGGGAUGUCAUCGUCGCUGGUGGGAAAGCAAAAUGGCACAGACACCCUGGAAGCCAGUUUGGCAGUUUCUUACUAAACGAAACAUACUCUUAGCAUGUGAUCCAGCAAAAGGGCUCCCGGGUGUUUAGCUGGAGGAGUUGAAAACUUAGGUCCGACAAAAACCUGCACGUGAUGUCGAGAGCAGCUUUAUUCAUCAUUGCCAAAAUGUGGAAGCGACCAAGGUGCCCUCCGGUAGGUGAAUGGAUAAAUAAACGGUGGUCCAUCCAGACAAUGGACUAUUAUUCAUUUCUCAUUUAAGAAAUGAGCUAUUAA